RNAcentral lists this ribosomal RNA (253 nucleotides) under uncultured bacterium. Its description in RNAcentral is "partial 16S ribosomal RNA". It matches the Rfam family "Bacterial small subunit ribosomal RNA", at positions 524 to 776 of the family's 1533-position model. The record is from RNAcentral.
UACGUAGGGUGCGAGCGUUGUCCGGAAUUAUUGGGCGUAAAGAGCUCGUAGGUGGCUGAGUAAGUCGGAUGUUAAAUCCCCAGGCUCAACCUGGGACACCACCCGAUACUGCUCUGGCUAGAGUCCGGUAGGGGAGCGUGGAAUUCCUGGUGUAGCGGUGAAAUGCGCAGAUAUCAGGAGGAACACCAAUGGCGAAGGCAGCUCUCUGGUACGUGACUGACGCUGAGACGCGAAAGCGUGGGGAGCGAACAGG